GCGACCCGACUUCCCAGUGGGUCACCCAUCUUGCUUGUGCUAUGUGUCAAGCACGCUUAACUUUGAAAUUCUUUUCGAGUGAUCACCAGUACAGACACUCGUAUUAUUGAUAUAUCUACAUCUAUUAAUUCAUUUAAAUGCUAUAUACUCACUCAUAUAAUUAUAAUCUUUGAUAUGUGGAGAUAAUACCUUAAAUAUGUUGUUAAUUAGUGAGCGAGUUCGUUUCGGUCCUUAUUUUUAUCGUCGGUAAAAUAUUUAAUUAAUAUUUAAUAAUUAAUUAAUUAAUUAAUUAAUUUUUUUUUUUAACAUUAAUACACCAAAAGUGUUUUAAUUUGGUUAUUAUAAUGUGAUUUGAAUUUAUUUGUUUAUGUUAAAUGCAAUCAUCAUCAUCAUUGCCUUAAAUAUAUAAAACAUAUAUAGUUUUAAUAAUUAAAGCACUUGAAAUAUAUAGUUAAAUAAAACAUAAAUUUGAAAAGAAAGUGCAAAUGUAAUUUCGUUUGAAAACAUAAAUAUAUAGUUUUAAUAAUUCUAAGCAUCAUCAUCAUCAUCAUCGGCAUCAGGCCCUGGAGGUGGCUGAGCAUUAUACAUCCUCAUAAACGCCUCCAAUUGAGCCAUGCGGUCCUCCAUCUGUUGGCGUUGUGCUUGCUCUGCCGCCAAUUGCUCCUCCAGCGUGGAGAUCCGUGUCUCAUAAAGCUGCUGAGACACCGCAGAACUGCCCGUGCUGCGGAUAGACCCCCUACUAGCCUGACUCUGCCCGGCACUCCCGACGCCGUAGAUCCGUGACCUAUCAAUUUGCACCACCUCCAAAUACACCUCGUCUAGCCGCUCCUGUCGUCCUGUGGCAGCGGCCAGUCGAUGAACCUCGGCCUAAUACAUACAUAACAAUGCAUAAUUGUUAGAAAAUAAAUACAUUCACUAAAUAUUUGAAUAAACUUAAACACUUACGUCAAUUCUAGCAUCUCUCUCCGACGUAUAACUUCCGUCGGCGUACGUGUGGAGGCGGAGGAAGGUGGCAUAGUUCGGUGCAUCCUGGGGAGUACCAGGAUCCAAGCUCUGUAGAUGCAUUUAUAUAAGAUAAAUAAGUUAUAUUAGUCAAUAUAUUAAUUUAAUUUAUAUACUUAAUUAUUUCUUAAUUACAUACCAUAUACUGCUGCAGGAUACGAGUCGACUGGGAC
This 1175-nucleotide long non-coding RNA is filed under the name Salvia miltiorrhiza (redroot sage). Its description in RNAcentral is "long non-coding RNA (SMIL_LNC002048)". The record is from RNAcentral. Lineage: Eukaryota; Viridiplantae; Streptophyta; Magnoliopsida; Lamiales; Lamiaceae.